Molecule: long non-coding RNA, 924 nt
Organism: Cuculus canorus (common cuckoo)
Lineage: Eukaryota; Metazoa; Chordata; Aves; Cuculiformes; Cuculidae
Exons: 3
Source: RefSeq, a predicted model, not a curated record
ACCUGGCUGGCUCCAGGCUGUUCCCAGAGCACAGUGCAAUUUCUUAGACUGGAAGAAGUAUUACAACGCUGUGGAGGGAAUUGCCCAUGGACAGGCUCUGCUAGGGCCUGGGAUGUGACAGCUCCUCUCUAUUGCAGCUGCCCAAGGCCAGGUCAGAGGUCUGUCUAGCCUGGUCUCUUCCUGACAUCAGGUGCCGCAGAAAGGAUGGACAAAGGCAGUGAGCUGGCAGCAGGAGAUCAGCUUGAUGGUCUGCUAGCUGCCAAUGGUGAGGAGGGAACGUCAGGAAUGCCUUGAGUCUGACAUGUGCCUCUAUUUUGAAUAACCUUCUGUGAGUUUCAUCCUUCCUGAUUUUGAGUCACCACCGUCUGAACCCAUGAAGACUCCUCUUGUCCACUACACCUUGUGGAGGGGCAGCUGGGCAGGAGUGGGAACAGCUAUCUGAGGCCACAUCAACAUCGUUCAUCUGCAUGCCAGGGCUUGUGGCUUAUAGCAUGUGCCAGAAAGAUCCUUGGUGGCAUGUCACUGCUGUCUCUCUUUUUCAUAUCACUUGAAGGGACCAGAUAUGCCAGAUGUGUCCAGAUUGUGGGUCUGAUCUUCAAGCAGAGAAGAGCAGUUGCACACACCUGAGAACCAGGUGUCAAGGCUUCUUAUGAAAGGGGAAAUAUUGAGGCUGUGAAUAUUAAGGCUGGCUAAUGCAAGAUAACAUAGCGAGCAGGUGGAAAUCUGGUGGCAGCAAGACAGUUUUCCUCCCCCUGAUGAUUUGGACUGCCUUGCUGAUGAAAUAAAGAGGGUCUGCCUGAAGCACUAGCCUUCCUGCUAGUAGUCCUACAGAAGAAUGUGGCACUUCUGCUUGCACCUGUGACCUAUGGUUCUAGAAACAGUGUUGACACAUGCGGGUUGAAGCAUUAACUUCCCUGGACAAGG